This 854-nucleotide long non-coding RNA is filed under the name Marmota monax (woodchuck). Lineage: Eukaryota; Metazoa; Chordata; Mammalia; Rodentia; Sciuridae. The record is from RNAcentral.
CUUAGAGUGAAGGGGAAAAUAUUAUACAGAAAAGAGAAUUAAUGAAAUCAUUCUUUACCAAGGUUUACCAAGGUUGAAUUCUGUGCUUGAGUAUGUAUAUCUUCUUAUGCAAAAGCAAUUAUAAGCAAAUUAGAUACCAAAAGAAAUAAUUGAAAUCUAAGCUUAAACAACGGUCUUUUCUUUUCCCUGAAUCUGCAAAGUACACAUCCAGAAUUGUUAACUACACUGAUAGCUGUUUGAGUUUGGAAUUAAAUUGUACCAGUUACUAAUAUUUCUCAUCUAUCAAAAGAUUUGCAGCAACACAUACUGGGGCCAUUUUUCUCUCUUGGAAAUUGCCUUUAUGCUUAGCCAGAGAAGAAAUGAGCCUGAAAAUUAAUUCACAUGGCAUUUUAACCAAUAGUCAGUAAUUUCUGUUCUGCAAGCAAGAAGCAAGCCCAAUGCAUUUAGGAAUGAUUUUUCCCAAAAGCCAUUCUGUUAGCUGCCAUUCUGAAGUGAACUAAUCAAUUUCCAUGUUAGACAUUUUUACCAAAUAAAACUCUUAUUUUUAUUAAGAUUCCAGUAUAUAAGCUGAUUUUUAUUCAUCAUAGGAGCAGCUUUCAUUUCAUUUUUGCCAAACUUCAUAUGAACCCCUUCCAAUAUUUGAGGAUCUCCAUACCUUAUGAAACUUUUUAGUUAGUACAUUUGACCUUGUUAUUGAAACUGAAAAAGCUAGACACAUGCUCUCUCUGUCUUCUUAUCACCAAGGGCUCUACCAAUCAGAGCACUAACUCAGAAGUUUAAAGUGACUUUAAAAACCUUAUUUUGGUAGUGGCAACAGUUGCCAGAGGCAAGGUGAUACUCAGAGCAAGCUGGGG